This 492-nucleotide ribosomal RNA is filed under the name uncultured bacterium. RNAcentral describes it as "partial 16S ribosomal RNA". It matches the Rfam family "Bacterial small subunit ribosomal RNA", at positions 29 to 507 of the family's 1533-position model. The record is from RNAcentral.
AGUGGACGCUGGCGGUAGGCCUAACACAUGCAAGUCGAACGGCAGCACAGUAAGAGCUUGCUCUUACGGGUGGCGAGUGGCGGACGGGUGAGGAAUACAUCGGAGUCUACUUUUUCGUGGGGGAUAACGUAGGGAAACUUACGCUAAUACCGCAUACGACCUACGGGUGAAAGCAGGGGAUCUUCGGACCUUGCGCGAUUGAAUGAGCCGAUGUCGGAUUAGCUAGUUGGCGGGGUAAAGGCCCACCAAGGCGACGAUCCGUAGCUGGUCUGAGAGGAUGAUCAGCCACACUGGAACUGAGACACGGUCCAGACUCCUACGGGAGGCAGCAGUGGGGAAUAUUGGACAAUGGGCGCAAGCCUGAUCCAGCCAUACCGCGUGGGUGAAGAAGGCCUUCGGGUUGUAAAGCCCUUUUGUUGGGAAAGAAAAGCAGCAGGUUAAUACCCCGCUGUUCUGACGGUACCCAAAGAAUAAGCACCGGCUAACUUCGUG